This 468-nucleotide ribosomal RNA is filed under the name uncultured bacterium. Its description in RNAcentral is "partial 16S ribosomal RNA". It matches the Rfam family "Bacterial small subunit ribosomal RNA", at positions 28 to 507 of the family's 1533-position model. The record is from RNAcentral.
GACGAACGCUGGCGGCGUGCUUAACACAUGCAAGUCGAACGGAAAGGCCCUGCUUUUGGGGGCUGCUCGAGUGGCGAACGGGUGAGUAACACGUGAGUAACCUGCCCUUGACUUUGGGAUAACUUCAGGAAACUGGGGCUAAUACCGGAUAGGAGCUCCUGCUGCAUGGUGGGGGUUGGAAAGUUUCGGCGGGUGGGGAUGGACUCGCGGCUUAUCAGCGUGUUGGUGGGGUAGUGGCUUACCAAGGCUUUGACGGGUAGCCGGCCUGAGAGGGUGACCGGCCACAUUGGGACUGCGAUACGGCCCAGACUCCUACGGGAGGCAGCAGUGGGGAAUAUUGCACAAUGGGCGGAAGCCUGAUGCAGCAACGCCGCGUGCGGGAUGACGGCCUUCGGGUUGUAAACCGCUUUCGCCUGUGACGAAGCGUGAGUGACGGUAAUGGGUAAAGAAGCACCGGCUAACUACGUG